Long non-coding RNA from Vespula vulgaris, 511 nucleotides. RefSeq lists it as uncharacterized. The transcript has 6 exons. Lineage: Eukaryota; Metazoa; Arthropoda; Insecta; Hymenoptera; Vespidae. The record is from RefSeq and is a predicted model, not a curated record.
CUUUGACAGUGGGUCCAGUCAUGCCACGAAUUUCCACCAUACACAUAUGAAUCCUCAUGAAUGAAACGGGGUGGUGGGGAUGGUCUGCCACUCGGAGGAGAUAUAAGGCGGCCGCCUUUGACAGUAGGUCCAGUCAUGCCACGAAUUUCCACCAUACACAUAUGAAUCCUCAUGAAUGAAACGGGGUGGUGGGGAUGGUCUGCCACUCGGAGGAGAUAUAAGGCGGCCGCCUUUGACAGUAGGUCCAGUCAUGCCACGAAUUUCCACCAUACACAUAUGAAUCCUCAUGAAUGAAACGGGGUGGUGGGGAUGGUCUGCCACUCGGAGGAGAUAUAAGGCGGCCGCCUUUGACAGUAGGUCCAGUCAUGCCACGAAUUUCCACCAUACACAUAUGAAUCCUCAUGAAUGAAACGGGGUGGUGGGGAUGGUCUGCCACUCGGAGGAGAUAUAAGGCGGCCGCCUUUGACAGUAGGUCCAGUCAUGCCACGAAUUUCCACCAUUCACAUAUGAA